AUGGAAGGAAAGGAAAAGAAGGGAGAAAGGAGAGAGAAAAGUGAAGGAAAGAAAGAAAAGGUAGGAGAAAAGAAAGAAGGAAAGAAAAGGAAGGAAGGAAGGAAGGAAGGAAGGAAGGAAGGAAGGAAGGAAGAGAGAGAAAAGAAGGGAAGGAAAAAAGGAGGAAGGGAAGAAAGGAAGGCGGGCGGGCGGGCUCCACACCAUCCUCCUAAGCCCCGAGCGAAAGCGAAGUCUGCCUGCCGGGAGCGAGGUGCGCGCUGCCUGUUUCCGGUCUCCGCACUGCAGGAGCCUGGCUCGCUGUGGCCCCAUGCCCGUCAGCCGCAGGUCUGCAGGCGCAGGACGGGGCACUGCACUCCUAGACAAGGCUCUGCAGCCGCUGUGUCUUCCCGUCACCUCCAGCCUGAGGCCAGCAGGCACGCAGUGACACAUCGGGACAUGUCGCUGCAGGCCAGCCUGAUCCCAGCUCCUUCUGCAGCACCUGGAGCCACGCAGCGGGCGGGGAGUUGAUGAUGUCAGGCUCCGGUGGUCACGGACGUAGGAAUCCAGGAGGAGGUACCAGAGCCUCUUGCCAGCUGAUGUACUCCACACGGGGCGGUGAUUUGACAGACAUCAGGAAAGCAGGUGGAAGCACCUGGACGACAAACUUGUGGACAGUCCACUUGUAGACGAUCGUCUGCCAAGGCAACCCCAGGAUCUUCAUGGAAGAAAUUACGAGAGACAAGGCUGGUUGCACGCCGUCUCAUUUCAGGCAAGUGGAAAGAGCCUGAUGCUGCAGAAUCCGUGACAGCCCAGAACCGCAGACAAGCUGAACCGGGCUGGGUCUGCGGCUCUACAGCUCUACGCUGGAAAACUGCUCUUCAGACAGAAGACAGCCAGAGAUGGACACAGUGUUCAAGUAACAUAGUAACAACGUGACUGUUCAAUAAAUGUAUCUUUUCCUUCUAAAUCUCUCUAAGACUUUGCAGUACCCAGUUUACAGAUGAUACAAAAGCAUAGCGUUAUCCAUACAAGUCCUUCAAUAGGAGGCUGUUUCUUUGGUUGUCUGCAGUACUGGGGAUAGAACCCAGAGCCUUCAUGCUGAGCUACAAAUGCCCGCCUUUUUCUAAAAGUUUGAUUGUUUUAUUUGUUGACUCAUUUGGUUUUUUUGAGACUGUCUCACUAUGUAGGUCACGUUGACCUGGAACCCACUGUGUAGCCUGGGCUGGCCUCAACCUCAUGACGAUCCUCCUGCCUCAGCCUCCGGAGUGCUGGGAUUACAGGGGUACACCUCCACAGCUGGGUCCUUUUAUAAAAUUUGGAAAGGAGAUCUCUCACUAAGUCCUAAAUUGCCCAGACUGGGCUCAAACUUGAGAUCCUCCUGCCUCAUCCUACCAAGUAGAUGGGAUUACAGACUUGUGCCCCCAAGCUUGGUGAGGUUUUAAAUUUUUAAAAUUUUUCAGUU
Molecule: long non-coding RNA, 1441 nt
Filed under: Chinchilla lanigera (long-tailed chinchilla)
Lineage: Eukaryota; Metazoa; Chordata; Mammalia; Rodentia; Chinchillidae
Description: lncRNA (ENSCLAG00000026605.1)
Source: RNAcentral